Molecule: long non-coding RNA, 290 nt
Filed under: Gallus gallus (chicken)
Lineage: Eukaryota; Metazoa; Chordata; Aves; Galliformes; Phasianidae
Source: RNAcentral
CUUUGAUCACCUUCUCCAGGCUGUCAUCCUGCUCCCCCUGCACCUCUGCAGCUGCAAUGGCGUAUCCAGAGAAGUCCUCCCAGAGGAGCAGUGUCUCUUCCGUUUCCUCCCAUGUGAGGCUGUCACAGUCAUCUUCAAAAUCGUAUUCCCUCAGCUGGUUUAGCAUCCUCUGCAUUUCCUCAUUGAUACUCAUGGCUGUGGUCUCGUCCUCUUCUUCCUCAUCAGGCUUUCUGGAGGCAUCGCUCUCUGACAGUGAAGUAUCUUCAUCGCUGACCUGCUUCCGCUCCCGC